GGGGCCGGUGUCGCCGGUGGCAACACCGGCGAAGGUCCAUUGGUUGUGUCAAGUGGCAUAAUGCUUGGGACCACCACAUGUCCAUGUGGCACCUUAUUCUCUUUGUUCCUUUGGUGAGUUAAAGUUCCAAAGCAUUUAUAAAUGCUUUAAAGGAUGUCUCCACUUUCUAUGUGGGACUUAAAGCAAAGCAUUAAAUGCUAUUUAACUCUUUUGUCAUUUUGGAACUAAUAUUGCAAAACAAUUUCCA
RNAcentral lists this long non-coding RNA (247 nucleotides) under Lathyrus oleraceus (garden pea). RNAcentral describes it as "Pisum sativum (pea) long non-coding RNA (PSAT_LNC019623)". Lineage: Eukaryota; Viridiplantae; Streptophyta; Magnoliopsida; Fabales; Fabaceae. The record is from RNAcentral.